This 6605-nucleotide long non-coding RNA is filed under the name Homo sapiens (human). Its description in RNAcentral is "long non-coding RNA NONHSAT117290.2". Lineage: Eukaryota; Metazoa; Chordata; Mammalia; Primates; Hominidae. The record is from RNAcentral.
CGGGGCGGCAAAACGUCCGCCCGGGCCCGAGGCGGGCGGAGGCAGCUGUGGUUACGUGCGGGGGGCCGGUGACGCAGUCGCGGGGCGCUGGGACGCGGCUUGCGGAGCCGGCCGGCGAGCGCAGGCCCCAGGCUCGGGCGCGGCGGCGGGACAGCACCUACCUUCCCGGCUUCGGGUCCGGGAGUGCGGGGCGCGGAGCCGCCGGAGCGCUGCCUCCCUCCUUCCUCCUCCCCUCGCCCCCGCCCCGCGGCGCGACACACAAUACUCGCCGGAAGCGGAAGCCGCGCCGAGGCUCGUGUCAGUGGAAGCUGGGGUGUCGGCGGGCGGCCGCGGCCGGGUCUAGCGGUGCCUGCGGAAGAAGGAGGAGGAGGGCUGGCGAUGAGAAGCAGCAGGGGGAAUCAAGGGCAAGAAGGGACCCAGAGGGGCAGGUGGCUGAGAUGCUGGCGUCCAGGUGACCCGAGGAAUCCUCUGGAGAUACAGGCCCGCGCAUGCGCGUGCUCGAGCGCUGAAGCCCAUUGCCCGCAGGGCGCUGGACUGGCGCCCCGGCCGGCGAGGCUGUCUAGUCCAGGCUCCAGGCCCCGGCUCUGGCCAGGCGCCGCCGCCUCCCGGUGCAGCUGAAAGUCGACGAAGAGGGCGGGGCGGGGGCGGCUUGUGGACUUCCACACUUUUCCUCUCUUCGGGCCAGUCUGGGGAGAGGGUGGCUAGCUGUGGCGGCGGCCAAUUACGUGGCGGACCUGCGGGGCUAAGCUGGCACGUCACUUCCGACUAGUGGAGUUUUUAGCCUUUUAACAUUCAAGGAUUAGAGCUCCCUCUUUGCCCACUAGCAGGGCAUUAGCUGGUGCUGAAGACAGUGGCUGCUUGGCGAGCCUGGAUCUCCAAGUGACCCCCUCAGCAACUCCUGAUGAACAGGACUGAAGCCAAUAUUAAAGCAAGUCAACCAAAGGUUCUCUGGUGUAGACAAGACAGCAAAAGGACAGACUACCUUGUGGAACCUAGCAUUGUUCUCCUUCUGCAGCACUAAGUAACAUUUGUUCUCCGUUAAGAUCUUUGCAAACCACACACAAGAAUUGCUGGUCAUCCUGCCAAUAGAUGCUGCUCACAGAACCAAAUUUCCUGUGCUGAAUUGUCACUCAUGGGCCUGAGAGUAGGAGACUGGAGACCAAGGUGGCUAGAAUCCAGUUGGGCCUGAUGUCUCCCUGUUGAAAGGGCUCCUUGUGGAAUGAAUAGCACAUGGCUCCUGUGGUGGAUCUGAUAGUGGCAUAGCACCAAGUGAUGCAGGCCUGCCAGGGGCCACAGACACAGAAGAUGCUCCCGGGGUCCCCCAUGUACUCCAGACACACUGCAGGCCACCUCUCCCAGCAGGUUGCCAGUCAUGGGCCCCAUCAUCAUGACUUCUGUCCAAGGUACUGUGUGCAGAAAUGUGAUUGAGAUUCAAGUCAGGGCCUCUCUGCCCUUUUCCCUCCAGAAACAAAACCAAGAUAAUUUAUCCUGAACACGGUGAAAAAAGGAAGGGAGGGAGGAGAAAAAGUCCGGGUCUCACCUGGGAUUCUCUGUCUCCUGCAACAUGAAGGAUUUAGCCUGGGAGGAGGUGGUGAGAACUCUGGGAGAGAAAAAAGAAGGAAAGAAUAGUUUUACCCAUGCUGAAGUUAAUUUAAACCUUCACCUAGAGAAGCAAAAAAAAAAACCCACACUUUCCCAUUUUGUGCCUCCCUUCCUAGAGUUUUAGCCAAAGGUUUAGCUAAGUAAUUGGUUUUACCAGGGCACUCACUCCUCCUAUCCCAAGUCUGUUUGACUCCCUCCCCAUCAUCCUCCUCACCUCUUUUCAGGCAGGGUGGGGAUAGCAGCAGGAGGAGAUUUUGGGAGCCUGGCAACUCCUGCAAGGACCGCAGGACAGCCCCUCUGUGGGGAUGCGUGGUGCCCCAUCUGCCGCCCUUCUGAAGAAUGCACUGCCUUCACUUUUUACUGUGUUAGAGUCCAUCCAGACUGUUCUAUCCAAAAAAGUUUCUUUUUCCCCCACAGGCAAUCAGGAAAUGAUUCCUUUCCCGACUGCUUCUGUCUAGUGCCUGGGAAUCUUGAGUCAAUCCCUCAGUAAGUCAGUGACUAGGGAAAUCCCUCUCUGAGACUCCCAGUUCAUGUUGCUUAGGGAACCUGAUAUUUUCGUGAAACCUGCCUACACAUGGGCAGCCCAACAGCAGAACAAAUGGUGGUGACCAAAGUGAACAAAGAAGUAUAGUUGUGCCAGCUUCGUAGUUGCCCAUGUGGACAAGUCAGCAGGAUCAGGACACGAGGAAGAGUAAAUGUGAGACAGUCAAUGUGACUUCUGCGAUAAACAGAUUUUUAAACCCCGAAAUUUUGCAAAAUUUUGGUGAAACCUGAACUUUCUUCGUUGCAUAUACUGGCACUAUCUGUACCAUCAUACAACCGUCUCACAUUAAAGCUAUUUUUCUUGGGCACUGAUGAGUAAGGUUGGUAUGUUUGAGUUCCUCAGAUCAACAAAAACCCAUUUUCCUGUAAGUCUUACAUUUAGUAUUUAAGGAACUAAAACUUAAAUACAUUUUGUGAAAUGGUUGACACUUCACUGAUAAUGAUUUAUUGCUUGGAUUAAUAAAUUUUCCAAAAGUUGUCUUAUGUAGAAUAUGGUUUGCAACCAGCAGAACCAUUAAUCUAUACUGCAAUGAUAUGCACUAUGUAUAAUUGUUUAAAAGCCUCUACUUAAUGAUGUAAAAUGCUCUAUUUAAUUACACAUUUGGGUAAACUGUAUACUAACAUCUGAUGGCAUUUUUCCACUGUUUGUUGCUUUUUUCAAAUACUUUAUUGUACAAAGCUGUUCUUAAUAUUUUUCAAGUUUUUUUCUUUGAAUUUUGCUAAUGUUUUCCUUGAAUUAUGAGCACUGACAGAAUGUGCUUAGCACUUUUGGCUAUUCACACAGCUUUUGAGCAUGAUUUGCAUCCAAUAUUUACAUUGCUAGCAAUAAUAAGCCAUCUGUGAGUUUUGUCAAAAGUUAUUGGGGAUUUUUUAAAUUUUAGAAAUGCAAAUUAUUGUUUCUUUGAACUAACUCUUAUGCAGUUGCAAAGGCAUUUCCAGUUGUUAUAGUUUGUGUACAAUAUCAGGUGUUCCAGAUUAUGAUUCAUUAUUAAUAUCAUUGCUUCCUUGUUCCCUCUGAGGUCCAGAAGAUUCAUGUUUACAAUAUUUAGAAACAAUGUUAAAAAGGUAUCCAAAGUUUGUCACUUUAUUAUUAGUUUGUUCUUAAUAUUCUGUUUAAGUUUUUGAAUUCAUAGAUAUCAAAACGCUGCACAAUUAUGAUUUCCACAGGAAUAACAACACACUAACAAUAAGAACCAAAAACAGCAAAUAGGCUGCCUACAAGUUUUGACAAUAUUAGGAUAAUGAUAAUGACAGUUUUUCUAAAUCUCACAGUAAAGAAUGCAGCAACCCAGCAACACUGCUACCUGUGGCCUCAGGCUGCAGUGUCAGCUCUUCCCUGGGUCUCCAGCCUGCCAGUCUAACCUGAAAAUUAUGUACUUGCCAGCCCCCACAGUCACGUGAGUGAACUGGCCCAGGCUGGUCACCAGGGUCAGUUUCUCUGUGUGUCAUUAAUUCAUUCAGUCUUCAGCAGUCUCUUUGGAGCUGAGAUGUACCUACCAUCUGCCUUUUGGGUGCUUAGGGUGGAGAACCAGAAAAGUAUAACCUAGUGUGUAUCCUCAAAGAGCUAACAAUAUGGGGUGGUACCUAUAGGUCUGGAAACACUUUACUGACUCUGUGAGGCAUACCAGGAGACGUCAGAGAACAGUCCCUCCUCAAAUGCCAAAUGAGAUGCAGAAGAAAUAGUUUGCUCAAGUUCAUGGGCCAGAUAUCCCAGUGGUCAGGGAGUUUCAUGAAUGAGAUGGAACUUUGCAUGGAACCCGAGGGAUGUGUAUGAUUUGAGUAGAUGAAGAAAAUGAGACUUUCCAAGCAGCUAGAAGUUAGGGAGCAGCAAGAUGUGUGGUGGGAUUGAGCACAGUUGGUUCAGAGGAUAGACUGCAGUUUUAAUAAUUUGUAGUAAAUAUCUCCCAACUGUUUGGCACUAUUGGAGCAAGUUCUUGAAUGCCAAAUGAAGGCAUAAAUCAGUAAGAGGCAUAAUAAAAGGCUGAGCAGUGCUUGGCUUUUUACGAACUGAUCCUGAUAGGAGCAGCUGUUCAACAAAGUUGCCAGGUCACCGUUACAUAGUCCCUGCCUUCUAGGGGCUCACUGCCUACUGGGAGAGACAGUCUGAAAGUUGGUGGAGCAUGUAACUGUUGGAUGAGGAGUUUGAGCCUGUGGACUGUGGGACCCCCGAGGAGGGUGUGGCUACUCUAGGCAGAACAAUCCCACAGUUUAUUUAUAUUUAACCUUGAAAUUCAUUAGAGGAUUUUUCAGCAGAGGUUUGGUACUUGUUAAUGUUAAGGUUUGCAUUCUCUAGAACCUCAAGGAAAGCUGUACCGUGCAUAAUGUACCCUCUUAUGUUAAUGUUGUGUACUGUGAUCCUGUUUCAGGGACUUGCACUUAGGAAUCUGUUACAGUGAGCACAGAAGCAGACCUGUGGGCUCAUAGUCUUCACCCCCCACCCAUAUAUACAAGAUGAACAGAGUGGAGGUUAAACAACUUGACUAAACAACACAGUUCAUGGUAAAGCCCAAGACUGUACCUGCCCAUCCACUGCCUUUUCCAUGUAUCCUGGAACUGAGCAUAGACCUCUUCCCAGGCAGAGCUGACAGCAAGUAAAGGAGAUCAUAAUCAGGGGACCAAACAACUUUGUCUAAAGUGUGAAUGUCACCUAAGGAGAAGCUGUGAGAUCAGAAGGGUGGGGCAGAGGAGCAGACACCAUGAGGGAGAGUCCUUGGGGGUACAUCUGCCAGACUGACACUGUCUGGCCUGGGCAGUGGAGGGGCUAGCAGGAACCACAGGUACUGGUGGUGUGGCUACUACCGUUACAACUGCCUGUGCUUGGACAUGGACCCUCUGCAAUAUGCGGCAGUUUCAUUCAUUGCCCCCUACAUUCUACACCAAGUAGAAAUGGAAGGCAAUUGGAUACUUCACAGACAAGAUCUAAGUGGAGAAGGAAUGCGUCCUGUGGCUGCAGAGAUCCUUGGAGCUUGGAGGGGAGAGCUUGAGCCCCACUGAUGAUGACCUCCCACAGCUCGCCAACUCAGCCCUCCCUAAGUCCCCAUCGGGGGCCAAUUCUCACUCUGGGGUUGGGGGGACUCCACCAUAGCUCAUCCAUCAUAGGGAUGUUGGUAUCUACUGUGGGUUGGGUAGGGCCGAUGUGCUGAGGAUGGCUCCCCCACAAGCAAGAGAUGUGGAUUUGGGGAGCUUCCCAUCUUGUGUUGAAGGAACAUAACUCAGAAUAAUAAGAGCCAACUAUAACAAACCCACAGCCAACAUCAUACUGAAUGGGCAAAAGCUGCAGGCAUUCCCCUUGAAAAGUGGCACAGGAUAAGGAAGCCCUUUCUCACCACUCCUAUUCAAUAUAGUGUUGAAAGUCCUGAUCACAGCAGUCAGGCAACAGAAAUAAUAAAGGGCAUCCAAAUAGGAAGAGAGGAAGUCAAACUAUCCUUGUUUGCAGACAGUAUGAUUCUAUAUCUAGAAAACCCCAUAGCCUCAGCCCAAAAGGUCCUUCAUCUGAUAAUUUCAGCAAAGUUUCAGGAGACAAAAUCAGUGUACAAAAAUCACUAACAUUCCUAUACACAGUCGCCAAGCCAAGAGCCAAAUCAGGAGCACAAUCCCAUUCAUAAUUGCCACAAAAAAGAAUAAAAUACCCAGGAAUGCAGCUAACCAAGGAAGUAAAGGAUCUCUACAAUGAGAAUCACAAACGCUGCUCAAAGAAAUCAGAGAUGACACAAACAAAUGGAAAAACUUUCCAUGCUCAUGGCUAGGAAGAAUCAAUAUCAUUAAAGUGGCCAUACUACCCAAAGCAAUUUAUAGAUUCAAUGCUAUUCCUAUCAAACAAUUACAUUUUUCACAGAACUAGAAAAAACUUAAAAUUCAUAUGGAACCAAAAAGCCUGAGUAGUCAAGGCAAUCCUAAACAAAAAGAACAAAGGUGGAGGCAUCACAUUACCUAACUUCAAACUACAGGGCUACCAUGACCAAAACAGCAUGGUACUGGUACAAAAGCAGACACACAGACCAGUGGGACAGAAUAGAGAGCCCAAAAAUAAGGCCACAAACCUACAGCCAUCUGAUCUUCAACAAAGUUGACAAAAACAAGCAAUGGGGAAAGGUCUCCCUAUUCAAUAAAUGGUGCUGGGAUAACUGGCUGGCCAUAUGCAGAAGAUCGUAACUGGACCCCUUUUACUAUGUACAAAAAUUAAGAUGGUUUAAAGAGUUAAAACCCAAAAUUAUAAAAAUCCUGAAGAUAACUUAGGCAAUACCAUUCUGGACAUAGGAACUGGCAAAGAUUUCAUGAUGAAGACACCAAAAGCAAUUGUAACAAAAGCAAAAAUGGACAAAUUGGAUUUAAGAGCUUUUUCAUAGCAAAAUAAACAACAGGGCAGACAAUCUACCAAAUGACAGAAAAUUUUUGCAAACUAUGCAUCUGACAAGGGGCUAAUAUCUAGCAUCUAUAAGGAAUUUAAACACAGUUACAGG